GCCUGAGUGGCUCACUGGUUGGGCACCUGGCUUUGGCUCAGGGCAUGAUCCUGGAUUCCCGGGUUCGAGUCCCGCAUCAGGCU
Molecule: transfer RNA, 83 nt
Filed under: Canis lupus dingo (dingo)
Lineage: Eukaryota; Metazoa; Chordata; Mammalia; Carnivora; Canidae
Rfam family: tRNA
About the family: Transfer RNA (tRNA) molecules are approximately 80 nucleotides in length. Their secondary structure includes four short double-helical elements and three loops (D, anti-codon, and T loops).
Source: Rfam by way of RNAcentral